AGAUUGAACGCUGGCGGCAUGCCUUACACAUGCAAGUCGAACGGCAGCACGGGAGCAAUCCUGGUGGCGAGUGGCGAACGGGUGAGUAAUACAUCGGAACGUGCCCAGUUGUGGGGGGUAGCCCGGCGAAAGCCGGAUUAAUACCGCAUACGACCUACGGGUGAAAGCGGGGGAUCGCAAGACCUCGCGCUAUUGGAGCGGCCGAUGUCGGAUUAGCUUGUUGGUAGGGUAAAGCCUACCAAGGCUACGAUCCGUAGCUGGUCUGAGAGGACGACCAGCCACACUGGGACUGAGACACGGCCCAGACUCCUACGGGAGGCAGCAGUGGGGAAUUUGGACAAUGGGCGAAAGCCUGAUCCAGCCAUGCCGCGUGCGGAAGAAGGCCGUUCGGGUUGUAACCGCUUUUGUCCGAGGAAGAACGGUUCGAGACUAAUAUCUCGGACUAAUCGACGUACCUGAAGAAUAAG
This 467-nucleotide ribosomal RNA is filed under the name uncultured soil bacterium. RNAcentral describes it as "bacterial SSU rRNA". It matches the Rfam family "Bacterial small subunit ribosomal RNA", at positions 26 to 490 of the family's 1533-position model. The record is from RNAcentral.